Long non-coding RNA from Homo sapiens (human), 3868 nucleotides. RefSeq lists it as uncharacterized. The record is from RefSeq and is a predicted model, not a curated record. NCBI's taxonomy places the organism in Eukaryota, Metazoa, Chordata, Mammalia, Primates, Hominidae. The transcript has 4 exons.
AUUUCUGAUUGUAUUUAUUUGGGUCUCCUUUCUUUCUCUUUUUUUUUUUUUUUUGGUUAGCCUCACUAGUGGUUUAUCAGUUUUGUUUAACUUUUCAAAAAAACAACUUUUAUCUUGUUGAUUCUUUGCAUUUCUUUUUUGUCUCUGUUGCAUUUGGUUCUGCUGUUAUUUUUUUUUCUUUCUACUAAUUGUGUGUUUGGUUUGUUCUUGCUUUUUGAGUUCCUUGAGGUGCAACAUUAGGUUGUUUAUUUGAGAUCUUUCUACUUUUUUGGUGUAGGCAUUUAUUGCUAUAAACCUUCCUCCUAGUAUUGCUUUUGCUGUAUCCCAUAGGUUUUGCAUGAUGUGUUUCCAUUUUCUGUUUAAAAAAAUUUUUUGAUUUUCAUCUUAAUUUCUUCAUUGACUCAAUGAUCAUUCAAUAGCACAUUUAAUGUCCAUGUAUUUGUACAGUUUCCAAAUUUUUUGUUAUUGAUUUCAAGUUUUAUUCCAUUGUGGUCUGAGAAGAUACUUGAUAUGAUUUUAAUGUUUAAAAUUUUGUUGAGCCUUGUUUUGUGUCCUAACAUAUGGUCUAUCCUGGAGAAUGUUCCAUGUGUUGAUGAGAUGAUUGUGUAUUCUGCUGCUGCUGGAUGAAAUAUUCUGAAAAUAUCUGUUAGGUCCAUUUGGUCUAAAGUGCAGCUUAAAUCUAAUGUUUCUUUGUUGAUUUUAUGUCUAGAUGAACUGUCCAAUGCUGACAGUAGGAUAUUGAAGUUCUCAACUAUCAUUGUAUUGGACUCUAUCUCUCUCUGUAGAUUUAAUAAUAUUUGCUAUGUGUGUCUGGAUGCACUUGUGUUGGUUGCAUGCAUAUUUAGAAUUGUUAUAUUUUGUUGCUGAAUUGAUCCCUUUAUUACCAUAUAAUGACCUUCUUUGUCCUUUUUACAGUUUUUGACUUAAAGUCUGUUUUAUCUGAUGCAAGUUUAGCUACUCCUGAUUACUUUUGAUUUCUGUUUGUGUGGCAUAUCUUUUUCAAUCUCUUCACUUUCAGUCUGUGUGUGUCUUUACAAGUGAAGUGAGUUUCUUGUAGACGUUGUUGGGUCAUUUUUUAUCCAUUAAGCCUGUCUCUAUCUUUUAGGUAGGUAAUUUAACACAUAUUCGAAGUUAUUGUUGAUAGGUGAGGACUUAUUCCUGUCAUUUUGUUCAUUGUUUGCUGGUUAUUUUGUAUAUCCUUUUGAUUUCAUUUAGCUGUGUCCCCACUCAGAUCUCAUCUUGAAUUCCCAUGUGUUGUGGGAGGGACCCAGUGAGAAGUAGUUGAAUCAUGGGGGCAGGUAUUUUCCAUGCUAUUCUUUUGAUAGUGAGUAAGUCUCAUGAGAUCUGAUGGUUUUAAAAGGAGGAGUUUCCCUGCUCAAGCUCUCUCUUUGCCUGCUGCCAUCCCUGUAAGAUGUGACUUGUCUCUCCUUGACUUCCGCAAUGAUUUUGAAGCCUCCCCAGCAACGUAGAACUACAGUUUAAGUCCAUUAAACCUCUUUGUUUUGUAAAUUUCCCAGUCUUGUAUGUGUCUUUAUCAGCUGUGUGAGAACGGACUAAUACAGUAAAUUGGUACCAGAAGUGGGGUGUUGCUAAAAGAUACCUGAAUAUGUGGAAGUGACUUUGGAACUGGGAAACAGGCAGAGGUUGGAGGGCUCAGAAGGAGACAGGAAAAUGUGGGGAAAUUUGGAAGAGAUUUCCUAGAGACUUGCCCAAAAUGCUGAUGGUUAUAUGGACAAUAAAGUCUAGGCUGAGGUGGUCUCAGAUGGAAAUGAGGAACUUGCCGGGAACUGGCACAAAAGUGACUCCUGUUAUGUUUUAGCAAAGAGACUGGUGGCAUUUUGCCCCUGCUGUAGAGAUUUGUGGAAUUUUGAACUUGAGAGAGAUGAUUUAGGUUAUCUGGUAGAAGAAAUUUCUAAGCAGCAAAGCAUUCAAGAGAUGACUUGGGUGCUGUUAAAGGCCCUCAGUUUUAUAAGGGAAGCAGAGCACAAAAGUUUGGAAGAUUUGCAGCCUGACAAUGCAAUAGAAAAGAAAAUCCCAUUUUCUCAAGAAAAAUUCGAUCUGGCUGCAGAAGUUUGUUUAAGUAACGAGGAGUCAAAUGUGAAUCUCCAAGACAAUGGGGAAAGUGUCUCCAGGGCAUGUCACAGAGCUUCAUGGCAGCCCCUCCCAUCAAAGGCCCAGCGGCCUAGGAAGAAAAGAUGGUUUUGUGGACUGGACCCAGGGCCCCCUGCUGUGAGCAGCCUCGGGUGCCUGAGUCUUAGCCACUCCAGCUGCACCUAAAAGGAACCAAGGUACAAUGUGGGCUGUGGCUUCAGAGGGUGCAAGCCCCAAACCUUAGCAGCUUCCACAUAGUGUUGAGCCCGUGGGUGCACAGAAGUCAAAAAUCGAGGUUUCGGAACUGCUGCCUAGACUUCAGAAGGUGUAUGGAAAUGCCUAGUUGUCCAGGCAGAAGUUUGCUGCAGGGGCAGGGCACUCAUGGAGAACCUCUACUAGGGCAGUGCAGAAGGGAAAUGUGGGGUCGAAGCCCCAACAUAGAGUCCCUACUGCAGCACCACCUAGUGGACCUGUGAGAAGAGGGCCACCAUCCUCCAGACCCCAGAAUGUUGGAUUCACUGACAGCUUGCGCUGUGUGCCUGGAAAAGCUGCAGACACUCAAUGCCAACCCGUGAAAGAGCCAGGAGGGGGUUUAUACCCACAAAGCCACAGGAGUGGAGCUGUGGCCUUUUUUCUCCCAAGGCCAUGGGAACCCACCUCUUACAUCAGCAUGACCUGCAUGUGAGACAUGGAGUCAAAGGAGAUCAUUUUGGGGCUUUGAGAUUUGACUGCCCCACUGGAUUUUGGGCUUGCAUGGGGCCUGUAGCCCCUUUGUUUUGGCAAUUUUUUCCCAUUUGGAAUGACUGUGUUUACCCAAUGCCUAUACCCCCAUUGCAUCUAGGAAGUAACUAACUUGGUUUUGAUUUUACGUGCUCAUAGGUGGAAGGGAUUUGCCUUGUCUCACAUGAGACUUUGGACUGUGGACUUUUGAGUUAAUGCUGAACUUAGUUAAGACUUUGGGGGACUGUUGGGAAGGCAAAAUUUGUUUUGAAAUGAGAUUUGGCAAGGGCCAGGGGCAGAAUGAUAUGCUUUGGUUGUGUUCCCACCCAAAUCUCAUCUUGAAUUCCCACAUGUUGUGGGAGGGACCUGGUGGGAAGUAAUUGAGUCAUGGGGACAGGUCUUUCCCAUGCUGUUCUCAUGAUAGUGAAUACGUCUCACAAUGUCUGAUGGUUUUAAAAAGGGUAGUUUCCCUGCAGAAGCUCUCUUUUGCCUGCUGCCAUCCAGGUGAGACAUGACUUGCUUUUUCUUGCCUUCCAACAUGAUUGUGAGGCUUCCUCAGCUACGUGGAAAUAUCCUUCUUAGAAAUUCCUAAGGCUCAAUGCUGUGUGGAAGGUUCUGAGAAAGAAAAUAGUUUCCGAUCUUUGGGAUUCCCGAGAUGGUCCAAUCUGCAAAAAGUUCAUUGCCAUUUCCAUCAAGGACACUGAGAACAAGAGUCUUAUCUGGAUUGGAUGCUGGGAAUUGAGAAGCUUCAGCAGGGCUUCCGCUGGGACUAGGAUCAGGAUGUGGACACCCCCAACCUGGACCGUCUGGCCGGGGAGGGCGUCAAGGCCAAGUACCUCAUGCCGCCCCUUGUCACAAUGACCUCCCCUUCCCACUUCACUGCCAUCCCAGAAUCCCAGUGGCCACUAAAAUAGAGGGAUUCCAACCCAAAAAGGAGAAAGAGGAGGCUGCUGGAAAGCAAAGGACUCUGUGUAAGAAUCAUAAUAGCGGGGGUGGAGCCAAGAUGGCCAAACAGGAACAGCUCCAGUCUACAACUCCUGGCGUGAGCGACGCAGAA